This 329-nucleotide unclassified non-coding RNA is filed under the name soil metagenome. Its description in RNAcentral is "partial contains 5.8S ribosomal RNA, internal transcribed spacer 2, and large subunit ribosomal RNA". The stretch from base 1 to 120 matches the Rfam family "5.8S ribosomal RNA", at positions 35 to 154 of the family's 154-position model. The record is from RNAcentral.
GAUGAAGAACGCAGCGAAAUGCGAUAAGUAGUGUGAAUUGCAGAAUUCCGUGAAUCAUCGAAUCUUUGAACGCACAUUGCGCCUUCUGGUAUUCCGGAAGGCAUGCCUGUUCGAGCGUCAUUACAACCCUCAAGCUCAGCUUGGUGUUGGGCCCCGCCGCCCCGGCGGGCCCUAAAGUCAGUGGCGGUGCCGUCCGGCUCCGAGCGUAGUAAUUCUUCUCGCUCUGGAGGUCCGGUCGUGUGCUCGCCAGCAACCCCCAAUUUUUUUCAGGUUGACCUCGGAUCAGGUAGGGAUACCCGCUGAACUUAAGCAUAUCAAUAAGCGGAGGA